UACAGAGGGGGCAAGCGUUGUUCGGAAUUACUGGGCGUAAAGGGCGCGUAGGCGGCCUGUUAAGUCGAACGUGAAAUCCCCGGGCUCAACCCGGGAACUGCGUCCGAUACUGGCAGGCUUGAAUUCGGGAGAGGGAUGUGGAAUUCCAGGUGUAGCGGUGAAAUGCGUAGAUAUCAGGAGGAACACCGGUGGCGAAGGCGGGUCUCUGGGCCGUAACUGACGCUGAGGAGCGAAAGCCAGGGGAGCAAACGGG
RNAcentral lists this ribosomal RNA (253 nucleotides) under uncultured bacterium. RNAcentral's name for it is "partial 16S ribosomal RNA". It matches the Rfam family "Bacterial small subunit ribosomal RNA", at positions 524 to 776 of the family's 1533-position model. The record is from RNAcentral.